AUACGGAGGGAGCAAGCGUUAUUUGGAAUCACUGGGCGUAAAGGACGCGUAGGCGGGUUUGUAAGUCAGGUGUGAAAUCCUACAGCUCAACUGUAGAACUGCACUUGAAACUACAGACCUAGAGUAUGGAAGGGGCAGAUGGAAUUAGUGGUGUAGGGGUAAAAUCCGUAGAUAUCACUAGGAAUACCGAAAGCGAAGGCGAUCUGCUGGGACAUUACUGACGCUGAGGCGUGAAAGCGUGGGGAGCAAACAGGAUUAGAUACCCUAGUAGUCC
Molecule: ribosomal RNA, 274 nt
Filed under: uncultured bacterium
Lineage: Bacteria
Description: partial 16S ribosomal RNA
Rfam family: Bacterial small subunit ribosomal RNA
Source: RNAcentral